AAUGUUCACUGAUCAUAUAUUCUGUCUCUGCUCUAAACUCUAUCAGUUUUAAGUCAACUUCUAGUAUUAGAAAAUGUUAGUAGUUUUAAAUUAUUUUUCUUGACUUUUUAUACCAUUUAACAGAAACCCCAUCAAAUACAAGCUACUGCUAGUUUACAGAACCCACAACUAAAUUCAAAUGAAUUAUUUUCAUGUGUUUUGUAUAUAUUUCUUGCUUAGAUUCUCUGGUGGUCACCUUGCAUGACUUGAAUGUCUUUUAAAGUUAUGAAUGGCUCAUCUUAAUUUAUUUGAAACCCUGUCAUGUCUGGUUAUAUUUCUUCAUUCCUACCUCUUAACUUACACGAGUACUGUUUAUAAAUUUUCUAAUUUUGUAUUCUUAUUUGUUCUUUAUUUUAAAAGGACAAAAUUUAAUUUAUUCAUACACCAUUUCAUUUCUUUGUUAUAGUUUAUAGGUUUAUAGGUGUUUUUUUUUUUUAUUUACUUGUCAGAUUAAGGUUUGAAUAUACAAGCAUUUUUUCUUCUAGCUUCAUUGUGUAGACACCAUUUGAUGAAUUUUCCAUCUGGUGCAUCAUAAUGAAUCAUCUUUAUAGAUGGUAAGAAUGGGGUUUCAUAUAUAAUCAUUAUUGUAAAAUUCAUGGUAAAAUAAAAUUAUAGACAAUUUUAUCCUUUUGAUGCUAAAUAUAGCUCAAAAACCAAUCUAACAAUUGAUAAUAAAAUUUAAACUAAGGGUACUGAAAAUUGGGCAUUUGACCCUUGACAAUAACCAUAAAUUCCUCCUACCCACUUCUAAAAAUGAUAUUAGUAAUAUAUCAUUAGUAUUUAUAUCAGCUGUUAUGGUUACUUAAUUUUCAUAAUUUUAACAUAUGGCAGUUGAAUUACAUUUACUGUUUCAAUUAUAAAUCAUUAGUUUUAAAGGGCAUUGAGAUUAUUGUAGUAUAAAUACUUUCUUAAGUGCCAACAAAUAUCAAUAUUUUUCCAGGCUAAUUUUUCAUUCUUGAAAAUAAUAAUAAAGAGUAUUUAUGGAAGAUUUUAACAUUUAUGGAUUUCAAAUAGACCAAGGAAUUAGUACUGGUAAUUGUAACUUAUCCAUGUAUGUUUUUAAGGUUUUGAACUGGUAUGCUGAUUAAUCUUAAUCAUAAAUACCUGCUCUACUACAUACUGCAAAAGUACAAUGUUUUGGUUAUUUUUGCAAGUACAAAAGCUAAAAGAAUAAUACCCUUGACAAACUGUAUGCAUAGAUAGGAUACAUAAGAUAAAAUAGCAUUGUACAUUGUUUUUUUAAUUGUAGAAAGGUGUAGUCUUUCAAGAUUAUUGUUUGGAUUUGUUUAAAUUCCAAUUUAAAGGUUGGAGCUUUUUCCAUGUAGUAUGAAAACUGUAGACCAGUUUAAUAUUUUGUUCGAUUUAAUGUAGUUCAAUGCUGAAUUUCAAUUUUAUUUGAUGCAUUUCCAGUGGGAAGGGUCUCUUAGUAUUUGUAGACAUAAUUUAUAGGACUUAUUUUAUUACGAAGAAAAUCCAUGACACUUUUCAGAAAGUUUAUUUGUUUUUUGGGGGGUUAAAUGCAUCUCUUUUUACACUACCUCUAUUUCAUGGCUGUCAGUUUCAUAUUGUUAACUUUUUGAUGGUUUGUCAAAAAACAGAAGAGAACAAAAUGACGUGUGAUUGAAUUUGUUAUUAAAUUUAACGUAUCUUGCCAUUUUACCAAAUCACCAGAUGAAGAAUUCAACACCUUCUAAAGUGUUGAUUGUUAGUUGUAAGCUACUUUGAUUAUACAUGUAUAGCUUAACCCACCGUCUAGGAGAAGAAUAUCUUUUUUCUCAGUAUUAUUUUUUUAGGUUGUAGAGAAAGUCGUAUCAUAUCGUAUCAUAUCAAACUCUUAUUUAAGACUGGAGUGAUUAUUAAGCUUGAUACACCAUUUUAGAAUCUAAACAUCAGUCAAUGUUUUUUUUUUAUUAUCAAACUCUUAUUUGUAAACAAAAAUAAAACUAGCAUUAACAAAUAUGUAACAGUGCGCAAUAUACAUCCAGCAUCAUUUGUUUAGUUAGGCAUUCAUAUUAGACAUUUCUGGUAAACAUACAAUUUUUGGGAUUUAAACAGGUGUUUCACUGUAUUUCUAAUUUAAGAACCAUGCUUUUGCUAUUUACAACAUAUACUGCUAUAAAUUAUUUAUUUUUAAUAUUUUUACCAACUUAAAUUUAUUUCAGAUCUUCUGAAUAAAAUCCUAUUCCUUUUUAUGUUUAUGAAGUAUGAAUGUACCUCUUGUAUAUAUGUAAUUUAUAUCAAACUCAUAAUGCUCAUUAAUUCCUUAGAACAGUUUAUGUAAUUGUUUUCAUUGUUAUUGAUUGUGAUACAAUAUCAUAUAUUAUUUACAUAUUUAUCCUAAUACUGUUGAAUAUCCUGUAUUAUAUUUGAUUGUGAUACAUUAUCAUACAAUAUUUACCCAUAUUUUGUUGAAUAUCAUUAUAUUUUAUGUUUUUUAAUACUGGAAUUUUGACAAUAAUUUAGUAAAAU
RNAcentral lists this long non-coding RNA (2508 nucleotides) under Mytilus galloprovincialis (Mediterranean mussel). Lineage: Eukaryota; Metazoa; Mollusca; Bivalvia; Mytilida; Mytilidae. The record is from RNAcentral.